CCUACGGGUGGCAGCAGUGGGGGAUAUUGCACAAUGGGGGAAACCCUGAUGCAGCGACGCCGCGUGGGUGAAGAAGCGCCUCGGCGCGUAAAGCCCUGUCAGCAGGGAAGAAAAUGACGGUACCUGAAGAAGAAGCCCCGGCUAACGACGUGCCCGCAGCCGCGGUAAUACAGAGGGGGCAAGCGUUAUCCGGAUUUACUGGGUGUACAGGGGGCGCAGACGGCGAUGCCAGCCAGGAGUGAAAGCCCGGGGCCCAACCCCGGGACUGCGCUUGGAACUGCGUGGCGAGAGUGCAGGAGGGCCCGGCGGAAUUCCUGGUGUAGCGGUGACAUGCGU
This 336-nucleotide ribosomal RNA is filed under the name uncultured bacterium. Its description in RNAcentral is "partial 16S ribosomal RNA". It matches the Rfam family "Bacterial small subunit ribosomal RNA", at positions 338 to 691 of the family's 1533-position model. The record is from RNAcentral.